This 467-nucleotide ribosomal RNA is filed under the name uncultured bacterium. RNAcentral's name for it is "partial 16S ribosomal RNA". It matches the Rfam family "Bacterial small subunit ribosomal RNA", at positions 28 to 507 of the family's 1533-position model. The record is from RNAcentral.
GACGAACGCUGGCGGCGUGCUUAACACAUGCAAGUCGAACGGAAAGGCCUAGCUUGCUGGGUACUCGAGUGGCGAACGGGUGAGUAACACGUGGGUGAUCUGCCCCUGACUUUGGGAUAAGCCUGGGAAACUGGGUCUAAUACCGGAUAUUCAUUUUUCCUCGCAUGGGGAUUUGUGGAAAGCUUUUGCGGUUGGGGAUGGGCCCGCGGCCUAUCAGCUUGUUGGUGGGGUAAUGGCCUACCAAGGCGACGACGGGUAGCCGACCUGAGAGGGUGAACGGCCACACUGGGACUGAGACACGGCCCAGACUCCUACGGGAGGCAGCAGUGGGGAAUAUUGCACAAUGGGGGCAAGCCUGAUGCAGCGACGCCGCGUGAGGGAUGACGGCCUUCGGGUUGUAAACCUCUUUCAGCGCCGACGAAGCGCAAGUGACGGUAGGAGCAGAAGAAGCACCGGCCAACUACGUG